UACGUAGGUGGCAAGCGUUAUCCGGAUUUACUGGGUGUAAAGGGCGUGUAGGCGGGACUGCAAGUCAGAUGUGAAAACCACGGGCUCAACCUGUGGCCUGCAUUUGAAACUGUAGUUCUUGAGUACUGGAGAGGCAGACGGAAUUCCUAGUGUAGCGGUGAAAUGCGUAGAGAUUAGGAAGAACACCAGUGGCGAAGGCGACUUACUGGACUGUAACUGACGCUGAGGCAUGAGAGCAUGGGGAGCAAACAGG
Molecule: ribosomal RNA, 253 nt
Filed under: uncultured Oscillospira sp.
Lineage: Bacteria; Bacillati; Bacillota; Clostridia; Eubacteriales; Oscillospiraceae
Description: partial 16S ribosomal RNA
Rfam family: Bacterial small subunit ribosomal RNA
Source: RNAcentral